GAAGCUAGUGCAAGACUGGGUUGUGGUCAGGACAAGUAUGGCAAUGAUCAGUAUGUAUGUCUUCCUAACAUAGAGAAGACUGGUCUUGUAGAAUUCUGUCACAAUGGGAUCAUGGGGUUAAUAGAGAGAGGUAAUUGCUUGGAAACUGCAGAGGGUAACCUUUUUACACACAAAUGUUCCAAAUUUGUUUCUGGCUGUCCAGAUGUAGACUUCCGCAGUAACGAAAUCUACAAAUACCCUGCUUGCCAAAGGAUUAGUACAUGGCAUCAUUGCUAUCUUGCUGAUUCAUCAUGUGCAAAUA
Saccostrea echinata is the source of this 301-nucleotide long non-coding RNA. RefSeq lists it as uncharacterized. The transcript is spliced from 3 exons. NCBI's taxonomy places the organism in Eukaryota, Metazoa, Mollusca, Bivalvia, Ostreida, Ostreidae. The record is from RefSeq and is a predicted model, not a curated record.